Long non-coding RNA from Brachypodium distachyon (stiff brome), 2825 nucleotides. RefSeq lists it as uncharacterized. The transcript has 5 exons. The record is from RefSeq and is a predicted model, not a curated record. NCBI's taxonomy places the organism in Eukaryota, Viridiplantae, Streptophyta, Magnoliopsida, Poales, Poaceae.
ACCCACCUCCACACGAAAAAAAAAACAAACCCCGAAACCAUCCCCAAAUCGUGCGUGCGUGCAGUUAGGGUGGCGAGCUGCUGCAGUACGAAUUGCGGCGAGCCUAGGCGGCGCCAGCGGCAGCUCGGGAAGGAUUGGUCAGUGGCAACUGAGAGGAGCGGCGCGCGAGAGAAGAUGCGUGGCGGCGACGGGCGACGCGGCGGGCCGGCUCGACCCUAGGCGGCACCGACGGUUGCAGCCGAGGCGGUGGCUUCAACGACGACGGCUGGGGCCUGAGCGAGGAGAAGCUCGACAAGCUCGAGCGGGAGGCCUAGCGCGAGCUCGCCGAGCGCAAGGCCUCCUCCUCCAGCGCCUCGACCUCUCCCGCGACUUCACCGCUGCGGCCGGCGGCGACGUGUGAGUGGCCUCGGCGAGCGGACGCUGUCGUACUCGGCGGGGCUUGCUCCGAUGUCGCUGGAGUUAUCAAAUCGUGCUUGCGGUUCGGGUGGAGUUGGCGAGAGGCGAGCCUAGGCGACGGUGGCCGCCUCGACGACGACUGGGGCCACCGCGUGCUCGGUGAGGGCGAGGCGGCUCACCCGGCGCGACCGUCCAGGGCGAGGAACCCCGACAUCGACCGGAGGCGACAACGCUUGCGUCUCUCUCUCUCCGGCGAAGAGCUCGGCGUCUCUCCUCCGGCGAAGCGCAUCCCAGCGACGGAAAGGCGGAUCCCGCCUCUGCCUCCACUUCUCCCCGGUUGGCGGCGCCCCUUGGCUCCGCACGACGUGAUCGUCCAGGGCCAGGCGCUUCGCCGAUGACGCGCACACGCUCGUCUCUGACGCCUCCUCACCGGCAGCUCCUCCUCCGGCCGCGUCGGUGACCUCGCUGCCACCGUGGCCACCGACAUCGGCCAAUCCCGUCGCACUUGCCACUACUUCCGCAGACUCCGCCCUGUAAGUCGAUGCUGCCGCCCAAUGCAAAAUGCAUGAACCGAUGGACUCUGUAUGCUCGUGUUUUGCCUUGUCUUGGGAUUAAAUUUUUUGAUGCGAUCACAUAUGGAGUAGUUAAUUGCAUCAGCCAUGAGAAAUAUCAUGUUGGAUCAAGUUGACUUGCACCUGUUCGAUCGAAUGCUCGUGAGAAUGUUUUUUUUUUGGUAUACUGCAGAUUUGUUCUUUACUUACUUCUCUGGAAGCUUGAAACACUGACCAAUUUUACAAGAUUUUAUUGUCUGGUCUGAAGAAGUAUUCGAUGGAAUGGUUGGUAUGCUUGCUGACCCCAAGGAAGUAUAUCCAACAUCAUUUAUGUUUGUGAUAUACAGCUAUUUCCCUUUUUCCUUUCUUUUCGUAUUUGGUUUCUUCGAUAAAAGGCUCCUGCUGGAAUUCAAGAGGUUCAUUUUCUGCUGUUCAAUCCAACUGAAAAAAGCUAAUGCAGAUUUUCAUGAGGUGCAGAUUUUCAGUAAUGCAGAAAAUGUCUAUUGUUUCGGUAGUGUAGAAAGUAGUUGUUGUUGAGUUCAAACUAUAAAAAAUUGUAACUACACACACAUGGCCGGAACAUGUGUGUAAUAUAUGGCCUUCUAGUUCAAAUCAUGGCCGGAACAUGACAAACUCAGCUGUAAUAUAUGUGCGUUUUGUGCAAUAUUGUAAGGACCUAUGUUCAGUUCCUCUGAUAUUCAACCUGCAAUGCAUAGGUGGCCUUCUAGUUAUCAUGGUGGUGGUAAUGUGUACUAAAGUCUAAAGCUGACAAGAUUUGUGACCUGAAAACUUAUGCAAUCUUAGUUGUUGCAUAAUUCAAUCUGGUAAGUUAGGAGAAAUCGGAUUGUUGUGCCCAUGAAUGUUAUCAGUUUGAUUUUGCUGUUGUGGCUGACCAUUAUUUUUAACUAAUCUGUUUCAAGAACAUGCUGGUGCUAUUGUCAAGAAGAGUUGUUUAUAAAUAGCACGUAAGGUAGUACUUCUGUUGGCAGGGCUUGCUCCGAUUUUGUUUCAGGGUCAGUGCUGGCGACGCGAGAGAGGGCGAGGUGGUCCAAGCUCGAUGGUGUGAAGGGCAGGAAUGAUGCUGGAUUUGGAAGAACAAUGGUGGAUGCUGAGGUCGACGCAGACGCCAGCCCACAACUCGCGUCGUUGGGCUAAUCGGCGACCUCGGCGCCCAGUCCUACUUCGUUGGCCGGCUCCUCCCCACUGUUGUGAUAUUCCCCUCGCCAGCAGCUCGUGUGGAAUUAGCCGCCGCAGUGUGACGAUCGCCGGUAAACCAGCUCAGAGCUGAGACUACUCUAUUCUUGAAAUUAAGAGAGCUACAGAGACAUAAACUUCCACUGAUUUUACUUGUGAGCAUGUUGUAAGGUUAGAGGUUGGACAAAAGUACUUUGUGUAUGGUUCAAGAUUCAAAGCCCACUGGACUAUCAGAUCUGAGUUUGACUAAAUAUAUAUUUUAGCCUUAGACUCUUUGUUUGGUGAAACGAGACAUGCUUAGAGUCUAAGAUAUGAUUGCCGUUAAUGAUGAUGAUAUAAUCCGAAACCUAAUGUCUUGUUGUUUCGACAAGUCUCGUGACAGAUACUCAAGCAAGAAUGUGCAAAUACUAACUUAUAGGAUAUUGGGCAAUUUUGCAGGCAGUCAUUGUUCAAAUGGAGAGAAGUGUUGCCGAAGGAGGAAUGAUGAGUCUGAAAGGACUUGCAUAGUUACAAUCAUGUGUAUAUCUUUUGUCUUCUGCUGUUGUAGUGCUUGAGCAGUUCAGUGAGGCAUGCGUUUUACUUGUACUCGUUGCUGCUGUGAAAAAAAUAUUGUCUCACUCCAUUAUGCUCCCGGAUUGCUCAAUUUGAUCUCUAUAGUGAUGCUUGAAAUAUUUUGUUUGCCAC